GGUGAGUAAUGUCUGGGAAACUGCCUGAUGGAGGGGGAUAACUACUGGAAACGGUAGCUAAUACCGCAUAACGUCGCAAGACCAAAGUGGGGGACCUUCGGGCCUCAUGCCAUCAGAUGUGCCCAGAUGGGAUUAGCUAGUAGGUGGGGUAACGGCUCACCUAGGCGACGAUCCCUAGCUGGUCUGAGAGGAUGACCAGCCACACUGGAACUGAGACACGGUCCAGACUCCUACGGGAGGCAGCAGUGGGGAAUAUUGCACAAUGGGCGCAAGCCUGAUGCAGCCAUGCCGCGUGUGUGAAGAAGGCCUUCGGGUUGUAAAGCACUUUCAGCGGGGAGGAA
This 341-nucleotide ribosomal RNA is filed under the name Acinetobacter baumannii. Its description in RNAcentral is "bacterial SSU rRNA". It matches the Rfam family "Bacterial small subunit ribosomal RNA", at positions 105 to 449 of the family's 1533-position model. The record is from RNAcentral. Lineage: Bacteria; Pseudomonadati; Pseudomonadota; Gammaproteobacteria; Moraxellales; Moraxellaceae.